This 250-nucleotide ribosomal RNA is filed under the name uncultured bacterium. Its description in RNAcentral is "partial 16S ribosomal RNA". It matches the Rfam family "Bacterial small subunit ribosomal RNA", at positions 525 to 775 of the family's 1533-position model. The record is from RNAcentral.
ACGUAGGUGGCGAGCGUUAUCCGGAAUUAUUGGGCGUAAAGGGAGCGCAGGCGGUUGAUUAAGUUUUAGGUUAAAGCGUGGGGCUUAACCCCAUAAAGCCUAAGAAACUGGUCAACUAGAGUGCAGAAGAGGGUAGUGGAAUUCCAUGUGUAGCGGUAAAAUGCGUAGAUAUAUGGAGGAACACCAGUGGCGAAGGCGGCUACCUGGUCUGUAACUGACGCUGAGGCUCGAAAGCGUGGGGAGCAAAUAG